RNAcentral lists this ribosomal RNA (366 nucleotides) under uncultured organism. Its description in RNAcentral is "partial 23S ribosomal RNA". It matches the Rfam family "Bacterial large subunit ribosomal RNA", at positions 2099 to 2465 of the family's 2925-position model. The record is from RNAcentral.
CUUUACUGUAUCUUGAAAUUGAUGAUUAAAUUUUUCUGCAUAGAAUAAGUGGGAGGCUUUGACACUUUUUUUUGGAAAAAGUUGAGCCAACGUUGGAAUACCACUCUUAAAAAUUUAAAAAUCUAACUUUAUUCCGUAAGCCGGGUAAAAAACAGUUUCUGGUGGGCAGUUUGACUGGGGCGGUCACCUCCUAAAAAGUAACGGAGGUGUACAAAGGUUUCCUCAAGUCGGUUAGAAAUCGCUUUAAGAGUGCAAAGGCAAGAGGAAGCUUAACUGUGAGACAGACAAGUCGAUCAGAGACGAAAGUCGGUCUUAGUGAUCUGACAUUGCUGUGUGGAAAGGAUGUCACUCAACGGAUAAAAGUUA